This 247-nucleotide ribosomal RNA is filed under the name uncultured archaeon. Its description in RNAcentral is "partial 16S ribosomal RNA". It matches the Rfam family "Archaeal small subunit ribosomal RNA", at positions 128 to 374 of the family's 1478-position model. The record is from RNAcentral.
AACUCUGGGAAACUGGGGAUAAUACUGGAUAUUAGGCUAUGCCUGGAAUGGUUUGCCUUUGAAAUGUUUUUUCGCCUAAGGAUAGGUCUGCGGCUGAUUAGGUCGUUGGUGGGGUAAUGGCCCACCAAGCCGAUGAUCGGUACGGGUUGUGAGAGCAAGGGCCCGGAGAUGGAACCUGAGACAAGGUUCCAGACCCUACGGGGUGCAGCAGGCGCGAAACCUCCGCAAUGUACGAAAGUGCGACGGG